ACGCGGAAAGGUAAGAGGCAGCAAUGCGUUCUUCAUUAAAAAAUGGUAGUGCUUGAAGAGUCCGUGGCAGAUCACACUUUGAAUUCAACCGCGCAGGCAGAGUCGAGCCAAAGGAAAAGCUCCGCAGCGUAACGCUUUCACACUGCGACGGUGCUACGGCGAGCCGAGCCCUGCACAUCCGGUGUGUUAAUCCUCCGUAGGCCUCACUCGCAGCUGCUGGCCUUUACGAUGCAGAUGUUGACCUCUCGCACUGUUCAGCACACAAGACGCACGCGGCAACUACUUUACUGCUGUAUAUUUGUUUAUUCCAAAGCGAAUGUUACAUCUGGUGCCGUUUCCCGGGAGCGAAAGGCCCCUCUUGCCCGUAUAAUGACAACUGGAUGACCCCUGGUAAUGUCUCCAAAUGCCCGGGGGCGUUGUGUGUGUUCCAAAGUGCCCCUGCAUUACCCACAAGAGGCUCUGCUGAGUAUUUUUUACACUUGCCACAUUUACAGGACCCUUUGGAAUAAGCUUCUAUGCCAGGAUGUGUGUGUGUGUGCAAUAACUCCCUGGGGGGCUAAUAGAAGGAGCAGAGACUUUAUGAGAUCGAUAGCGCUAUUUGGCUCACGAUGCAUAUUUGUUUAAAUCAUUUUCAGACUAGUACCUAAACUUGCAAUAACUUACUUGGAAUCAUUUGCGGCACUUUCCACAGCCGGUGGUCCUGUUCCUGCAACACAAGGAGCCCUGAAUGUUACAUGAAAUCAGCAUCAAUUGGCUUUGGCUCGAUCUUCGGCCACCAGUGGCGGCGAAAGCACAAACGCAGCAUGGAACCUGCUAACUGGCUCGCCAGCCAGAGGUGACUUCAGCUCCGCUUGUUUUUUAGUAAUUAUAGAGGGUCGGGUGAGAAAACAUUUUGGCAUUUUGACACUAAAACAUUUAAUUUAAAGACAACGUGGGAAUGACUGCUGUUGGCUGUUUUUUAGACGGUAGUUUUACGCUCCUCCUGAAUGCACUUCCCCGGUGAAUAGAGCUCACUGGCAAUAUUAAGUUUCCCGGGAGCAGUCUGAAUAAGCGGUAAAUAGACUGGCGCUGGGAUCUUUGCUGUGUAACGGUUCACUGUGCUUUAAAAGGGAAAUAUUUUCAUUUAAUUCAAUAUUGGAUUUUUAUUAACGUUUUUUUAUCCAUAUUUUUCCAGCGGUAGUUUUUUCGAAACCAAAUGAGGAGCAACUACAGUGUUGGUCAUCAUUACAGCUAAUGCUGUAUUGGAUUCAGUGCCCCUUUGACUGCGCGUUUGUCCUCGUUCAGGCCGAUAAGCCUCCUGUGAGCAACAUCAGUAGCUGAGACGGUUGCAGAGAUCCGCCUGCCGCGUGUAAUGGAUUUCACGGACGCCGAUCGACCGCUUCGAGGGAAGAAAACGCUCGGUGCUGAAUGCUGCUGUAAUAAAGUUAUAACACUUACUUACACUCAUGCAAGAAACGUGUGAAGGAUGUUUCAGAGGCUGACUUAAUUAAGUAUUAGUUUAGUGUUUUUUACCCUCUUGGUGGCCUGUCUGCUGCAGACUGGUCAAAACGAGUCAUAUUUUUGAAAGGAAAAACCAAUAAGCACAAGGAAAGAACCCGUGAUGAAGCCUCCAUGUGUAAAGUCCCUGAACCAAUGAAAUUGCCUCAAGCGACGCGGCCGUGGCAGAAAAAAAGGUAGAAAUAAAACCAUGUGAUCAGUGCACUUGCUUCAAUUCGAUGGUAAUCUGCAGGAGAGAUGGAAAUGGAAUGAUCAUUACAGUGAUGAAUCCCCCCCCGCGGAGGGCUGCCCGGAGACGAGAUCUGCAACAAUGCAAGAAGAGGUAAAAAUGCGUCUCUUCGGGGCUUCGUGCUGCUUUCGCCACUGGCUGUUUGCUGUGGUUCAGUUCGACGCCAUUAAACAAAUCCACAGUAAUCACAAAUACGGAGCGCGGGACGCCGUUCUGUGCCGAGCCUCUAGUAAUGGACUAAAUGAGCCUCUGCGCUUGUUUGCGUGUUCCUAUCAGCUGGGGAUGUGAUUGUAAAUUAGAAGAACUUAGCUUGCCGCUCGCCCGCUGCUGACUUGGGAAUGGUAUUGGAUUACAGCGACUCUAAUAGUGUCCCCCUAAUGUCUCCCUUAGAAAGCCUCCUGGCCUCUCACCGACGGGGAACGUUUUCUUUUUAUACUUAAUCUAUAACGACAGCUGGAGGAAGAACCGCAGGCACAAAAGUGUCCGGUGGGUCAACAUGAGCGGCUUUGAUCCGACAGUAAUGGUUGUAUUUAAUGCGCACGGGUGGGCGGCGCAGUUCUCGUUUAUUUCACCAAAAACAAAGUUAAAGUCUGAAAAUCAACAGGUUUGGUCGACCUCAAGCAAAGAAUAAUACACAUUGUUGCCCUUUUGAUUCUGGAAGGGUUCAUAAUCAUUUGAAGGGUCUUUGGAAACGCAGGUGCGUCCUCUGCUGAACGUGAUGCAAACAGCUGGAAUGACUCUUUGAUUCAUGAAUAUUACGUUUGCUGCAGUUUUCUUUUCUAUUCAUUUCUAAUUCCUAAUGACAUCCACCCGAUCGAUGUUUUAUUGGCUUCAUCUCAUUAAAUUGCUAUAAUCCUGGUGCCAGCAUAUAAGAACAUUCAACCCAAUGUACCUGCAGUCAUUGUCAUAUAGAAAGACCAAGAUGUUUGUGGCUAUUUAAAACAUAUGAAUCACUUACAGAUGAGUACAAACAUAACACAUAUCACACAACACGAUAUAUAAAUGUAUGCCACCAAAACAUACUCGGCGCUCUUUGUGUCCUCAGGGGCCAGCUGGAGGUUCAGGCAUUUGAUCCGGAUUCCUCACGCUGGUUUAUUUGUGCUCAUCCGACUGGUAGAAGGUCUGAGAAUCCACAGGAGAACUUGGACAACUUUCCCGGCCUCCAGGGAUCAUGGCGAAAAUAAAAGAACUUGAUAGAAUCUGUUGUGACGGAGCCCUUUUCAUGAACAUCAGCCCUCAAGAACGUGCGCAGGAUCGUCUCCUGGGCAGUUUCUGUAGAUUCCGUAGACAUGUGCGAUCAUCAGGCCGGGCGGUGUGAGCUUUGUUGAGGAGCAGCGGUUCAUCCGUGUUGGUUGGCCGGAGAGCGAAACGUUUGGCCGGAUGAAUCGAUGGGAGCACAGUUGGCUUCUUUGCCCCGUCGCCAUCCCCGUCCCGAGAGAGAGAGCAGCUGCUCCUCCAACCAGAAGCUCCGGGAAACUUUCCAGCUCGACGAAAGCGUUUGACCGGCAUAUUGUCCAAAGUUUAAACGUUCCUUCCUGAUGAAUUUGAUCAAAGAGGGAAAUCUGGAGAGGAGACCAAAUCUCCUUCUUUAACCACCUGGCUUAGUGUGUGAAUCUGUCGCAAUAUUGUGUCUUGUGUGAGAAACUCUUGACAACAGCAUCAAUUAGCAGUGUUUUCUCCACUGAGUGCUUUCUUAAGAGGCUUAAAUGGUGUUAAAUGAACCGACGUGCUCCACUUUGCUUCUGUUAAAGAACUUUGAUCUAAAUUCAUAUUAGGAAUGAUGCUUCAGCAGUCUACAACGAUAAAAAACAGAAGCAAGUCAGCAUCUUUGCACUUCCCCACGUCUUUGUCUCUGUUUUUAGUUCAGGUCAGUUGUUGAUGCAAGCUGAAGAGAUUUUAACGCUGUGAAAAUGAAUCAAUGGUCUCAAUCACUAGUUUCAAGUCUUCUCCUAUACAGCACGAUGUCCAUUUAGUAGAUGAUGGUACAUUUAGAGUCUAUAAACUUAACCCAAAAGAACAGUAAUCAGUCACCUUUUUCUUUUUUUUAAUAUACUUUCCCGCCUUUUUGUGUUUCCUCACCUUUGCGGUUGACCUUACCGCCCCUUAGCUCACCUGUGUGUGAUCACUUGGCCCUCACGUGUGUCUCCUGUUUCAGUGUGUGUGUGUGGAGAAACAGAACGGAGCCCUUAACCUGUCUUUCCUUUCAGUCGUUACACAUAUUGCUCCAUAGGCGAAGGUACAGGAAGCUGACUGAAACACCGUCACGUUCCGUAUUCAUACAUACUACUAUCUCCAUUUCCCCCGUAUUUCUUAUGAUUGUGAUUUAAUUUGUAUACAACCCACAAUAUAAUAAUGCUGUCUUUGGAAAAUGAUUUAUUGGCAAAGAAAAUCGAAUUUGUCAACUUGACUGAACAAAAUCAUGAUAGAUGAUACAGAAAGUGUUUUGUGUCGUUUCCCUCACUGACUUUAACUGUAUUCAUAAUAAAAGUUACACAUUUUCUCAUAAACUAACCACAUUUAUGGGCGGUUGUGUUACAUACUGUGUAUUCUUUACCACAUUGUGCAUAACUCCAAUACUAAAACCGAUGUUUAUCAUCUUCACACGUUGAGAUUAAUUAUAUCCGUCCAAUCCGCCACAACGUCUGGUGAAUAAUGGAGAUGCCAUCAGAGGGGAAUGUCGGCAGGGAGAAGCCUUCUGUGAGGGAUGCUCAGCAUCCUCCUCCGUCCAGCGGGAGCAAGGAGAUGGCUGAGCGACUUGUGGUCCUGGGAAGAUUGAAUCCUGGUGCAGCAGUAGUUUGUUUUAUGGAAGACUAAAUGACACCUGCUGAUUAAUCAGGGGACUAAAUACACCCUCUUUGCACCCACAUCACCUGCCAUCCAACGGACACAUGUGGAUACACACUAAACACACCUGCACCGUCUACUUACAACGCAGUGCUACGUACAUUUAAAAAUGUAGUAGUAGCCUCACAGAAUACCUCCAAGUAAACAACGGAACGGGUUCUUAAAGCCACCUUUCUGACAAAGAGAUUGGAUUCAUUUAAAACCUUCUUGUGAAAUGUGUCUGGUUGUGUGUUUGUAUUCACAUUUACAUAAUAUGUAUCGAUGACCCUCAGAGCUCUGAAGGUUCCAUCUUGGACGUUCAUGUGUGUCACUUGGAUACAGAUGUUAUGUCACCAUCCAAUCCUGAUCAAACGGGGCGAACCGGCCUGAAAUCCUCCCACAAAAUGGUAAUGGCCUUCCUGAAGCUACAGCUCUGUCACACACACACACACACACACACACACACACACACCGUGACCACUGCUGCAGCAUCCUGUGGCGCACGCACACUGCACUGUGUGGCGCCGUCUGUUCCCAGUUUUCAUGCCACUAUAACGACCCUGUGCAUUCAGCACAUGUUCAGCUGGUUAUCUGUGGAAGAGGACCAGAAGAUCAGGACCAGAAGAUCAGCACCAGAAGAUCAGGACCAGAAGAUCAGCACCGGAAGAUCAGCACCGGAAGAUUAGUACCGGAAGCUCAGGACCAGAAGAUCAGUACCAGAAGCUCAGGACCAGAAGAUCAGGACCAGACGAUCAGGACCGGAAGAUCAGCACCAGAAGAUCAGCACCAGAAGAUCAGCACCAGAAGAUCGGCACCAGAAGAUCGGGACCAGAAGAUCGGGACCAGAAGAUCAGCACCAGAAGCUCAGCACCAGAAGCUCAGGACCAGCGCUGGCUCUCGGGGGAAGAGAGUGUGUCCCUGUAGCCGCGGUGGUUCACUUCUUGCUUGAAUCCAAGGUUACUUUCUUUCUGUGUCGGGAGCUCAAAGGUUCUUCUGAGGAAUCACCAAUGAACCCAAUACCUUUUGUAUGGAUGGACUUAGCGUGGUGAUGAUGUCAGGGCCGCUGCUCACACAUCAUCACACAUCGAGCGUGCAUCAGAGAUCCGUGUGUACGGUCUGACAGAAGGAAUUUCAUAUCAUAUCCACGAAUAGGUUGGUAUUGAUCACCUGAAAUAAAGAUGCUUCUGUAUUUUUGUAAUUUGGUCCCUAAGUGACAUCUGAACUGUUUGGUAUAUUUUAAUAAAUAAUGGGUCUGUUGAGAUCUUUUUUUUGUGUUAACUGAAAUGGAAAUAAAUCUUUUUGCAUUACUUUUUUCUCAGUGAGGACAGUGAAAGAUUCUGCACAAUAGCUGAAAUCUUUUUGCCUAAUUUCACACAUUCCUCCAGUCCCACAUUGCAUUUGUCCGUACACCUAAAAGACUGC
This is a long non-coding RNA of Gasterosteus aculeatus aculeatus (three-spined stickleback), 5971 nucleotides long. The record is from Ensembl. Lineage: Eukaryota; Metazoa; Chordata; Actinopteri; Perciformes; Gasterosteidae.